UACGUAGGGUGCAAGCGUUAAUCGGAAUUACUGGGCGUAAAGCGUGCGCAGGCGGUUGUGUAAGACAGGCGUGAAAUCCCCGGGCUCAACCUGGGAAUGGCGCUUGUGACUGCACAGCUCGAGUGCGGCAGAGGGGGAUGGAAUUCCGCGUGUAGCAGUGAAAUGCGUAGAUAUGCGGAGGAACACCAAUGGCGAAGGCAAUCCCCUGGGCCUGCACUGACGCUCAUGCACGAAAGCGUGGGGAGCAAACAGG
This 253-nucleotide ribosomal RNA is filed under the name uncultured bacterium. RNAcentral describes it as "partial 16S ribosomal RNA". It matches the Rfam family "Bacterial small subunit ribosomal RNA", at positions 524 to 776 of the family's 1533-position model. The record is from RNAcentral.